This is a long non-coding RNA of Dendroctonus ponderosae (mountain pine beetle), 813 nucleotides long. RefSeq lists it as uncharacterized. Lineage: Eukaryota; Metazoa; Arthropoda; Insecta; Coleoptera; Curculionidae. The transcript is spliced from 2 exons. The record is from RefSeq and is a predicted model, not a curated record.
GUACCAAGGCGCAUUAAGGAUGUUUCUCAGUACUUUAUUCUGGAAUCUCUGGAUAAUUAGGAUGUUACUCUUGCUAGCACAACCCCAGAGCUGUUGGUAGUCUAGAGUGCCUACCCAGUAGCCAGCCCAUUUUCCUAUAUCUGAUAUCGAGCUCUUCCUUUUUUUUCUUAACAUUAUUCUACUGAAAAUAUGUUUUUUUUUUGUUUUUGUGCGUUUAAACUUUGAUUGCUGAUAAAUUCGUUAUGGCUAAGCAGAAUAAGGAAAAAAUGUGUACUACCUACCCCUAUUUGUUCGUUAUUUAUCAAUUUUACCAAAUAAGAAAAUGUGCAACGACCAUAUUCUAGAAAUCCACCAGCUAUUUUUUUCGUAAAUCGCCACCUCUGUUUAAAUGAAAAUGUAAUUGUUUUCUAAAGUAAAUUGAUCUCAAAGCAACCUGCCAGAAUUAGAAAAGCUUCUCUUUAUAGGUACAGCCUGAAGUUACGAUUUCAACUAGUUUGGCGCCAGCAUUAUUCCAGAAGCAAUAAUAAAUAAUUAGUGCAAUUAAAACUGGGCAACUUUUCCAAUUCAUUUUGUUUCAAAACUUUCUAAAUUAUGCGCUGCAUUUGCUGUGGUCACCUAAAUGCUACACUGAAAAUGCACCUGAUAAUUAAGACGAAACGCACACCGGAGGGAUAUUUAUAUUUUGAUAAAGGAUGCUUUUUAGGUAAAUUUGCAUUAGGAUUUACGAUUUUUGAGUUCAUCAUAUAAAAAUGUACACAGUUUAAACCUUGCAAUGAGAUAAGGUGUUUUGAUAAUUAUAAUAAUUCAUAAAUA